AGAGUUUGAUCCUGGCUCAGGACGAACGCUGGCGGCGCGCCUAACACAUGCAAGUCGAACGAGCGAGAGAGAGCUCGCUUUCUCAAGCGAGUGGCGAACGGGUGAGUAACGCGUGAGGAACCUGCCUCAAAGAGGGGGACAACAGUUGGAAACGACUGCUAAUACCGCAUAAGCCCACGGCUCGGCAUCGAGCAGAGGGAAAAGGAGUGAUCCGCUUUGAGAUGGCCUCGCGUCCGAUUAGCUAGUUGGUGAGGUAACGGCCCACCAAGGCGACGAUCGGUAGCCGGACUGAGAGGUUGAACGGCCACAUUGGGACUGAGACACGGCCCAGACUCCUACGGGAGGCAGCAGUGGGGAAUAUUGCACAAUGGGGGAAACCCUGAUGCAGCGACGCCGCGUGGAGGAAGAAGGUCUUCGGAUUGUAAACUCCUGUUGUUGAGGAAGAUAAUGACGGUACUCAACAAGGAAGUGACGGCUAACUACGUGCCAGCAGCCGCGGUAAAACGUAGGUCACAAGCGUUGUCCGGAAUUACUGGGUGUAAAGGGAGCGCAGGCGGGAAAGCAAGUUGGAAGUGAAAUCCAUGGGCUCAACCCAUGAACUGCUUUCAAAACUGUUUUUCUUGAGUAGUGCAGAGGUAGGCGGAAUUCCGGUGUAGCGGUGGAAUGCGUAGAUAUCGGGAGGAACACCAGUGGCGAAGGCGGCCUACUGGGCACCAACUGACGCUGAGGCUCGAAAGUGUGGGUAACAACAGGAUUAGAUACCCUGGUAGUCCACACUGUAAACGAUGAUUACUAGGUGUUGGAGGAUUGACCCCUUCAGUGCCGCAGUUAACACAAUAAGUAAUCCACCUGGGGAGUACGACCGCAAGGUUGAAACUCAAAGGAAUUGACGGGGGCCCGCACAAGCAGUGGAGUAUGUGGUUUAAUUCGACGCAACGCGAAGAACCUUACCAAGUCUUGACAUCCUGCGACGGUGCUGGAAACAGUACUUUCCUUCGGGACGCAGAGACAGGUGGUGCAUGGUUGUCGUCAGCUCGUGUCGUGAGAUGUUGGGUUAAGUCCCGCAACGAGCGCAACCCUUAUGGUCAGUUACUACGCAAGAGGACUCUGGCCAGACUGCCGUUGACAAAACGGAGGAAGGUGGGGAUGACGUCAAAUCAUCAUGCCCUUUAUGACUUGGGCUACACACGUACUACAAUGGCGUUAAACAAAGAGAAGCGAGACCGCGAGGUGGAGCAAAACUCAGAAACAACGUCCCAGUUCGGACUGCAGGCUGCAACUCGCCUGCACGAAGUCGGAAUUGCUAGUAAUCGCAGAUCAGCAUGCUGCGGUGAAUAAGUUCCCGGGGGCCUUGUACACACCGCCCGU
RNAcentral lists this ribosomal RNA (1368 nucleotides) under uncultured bacterium. Its description in RNAcentral is "bacterial SSU rRNA". It matches the Rfam family "Bacterial small subunit ribosomal RNA". The record is from RNAcentral.